UACGUAGGUGGCAAGCGUUGUCCGGAAUUAUUGGGCGUAAAGCGCGCGCAGGUGGUUCCUUAAGUCUGAUGUGAAAGCCCACGGCUCAACCGUGGAAGGUCAUUGGAAACUGGGGAACUUGAGUACAGAAGAGGAAAGUGGAAUUCCAAGUGUAGCGGUGAAAUGCGUAGAUAUUUGGAGGAACACCAGUGGCGAAGGCGACUUUCUGGUCUGUAACUGACACUGAGGCGCGAAAGCGUGGGGAGCAAACAGG
Molecule: ribosomal RNA, 253 nt
Filed under: uncultured bacterium
Lineage: Bacteria
Description: partial 16S ribosomal RNA
Rfam family: Bacterial small subunit ribosomal RNA
Source: RNAcentral